AGUGAACGCUGGCGGUAGGCCUAACACAUGCAAGUCGAACGGCAGCACAGUAAGAUCUUGCUCUUACGGGUGGCGAGUGGCGGACGGGUGAGGAAUACAUCGGAAUCUACUUUUUCGUGGGGGAUAACGUAGGGAAACUUACGCUAAUACCGCAUACGACCUACGGGUGAAAGCAGGGGAUCUUCGGACCUUGCGCGACUGAAUGAGCCGAUGUCGGAUUAGCUAGUUGGCGGGGUAAAGGCCCACCAAGGCGACGAUCCGUAGCUGGUCUGAGAGGGUGAUCGGCCACACUGGAGCGGGGACACGGUCCAGACUCCUACGGGAGGCAGCAGUGGGGAAUAUUGGACAAUGGGCGCAAGCCUGAUCCAGCCAUACCGCGUGGGUGAAGAAGGCCUUCGGGUUGUAAAGCCCUUUUGUUGGGAAAGAAAAGCAGCAGGUUAAUACCCCGCUGUUCUGACGGUACCCAAAGAAUAAGCACCGGCUAACUUCGUG
Molecule: ribosomal RNA, 492 nt
Filed under: uncultured bacterium
Lineage: Bacteria
Description: partial 16S ribosomal RNA
Rfam family: Bacterial small subunit ribosomal RNA
Source: RNAcentral